UCCGAAGGGGGCUAGCGUUGUUCGGAAUUACUGGGCGUAAAGCGCGCGCAGGCGGCUAUCCAAGUCAGUGGUGAAAGCCCGGAGCUCAACUCCGGAACUGCCAUUGAAACUGUUUAGCUUGAGGAUGAGAGAGGUGAGUGGAAUUCCCAGUGUAGAGGUGAAAUUCGUAGAUAUUGGGAAGAACACCGGUGGCGAAGGCGGCUCACUGGCUCAUUACUGACGCUCAGGCGCGAUAGCGUGGGGAUCAAACAGG
RNAcentral lists this ribosomal RNA (253 nucleotides) under uncultured bacterium. RNAcentral's name for it is "partial 16S ribosomal RNA". It matches the Rfam family "Bacterial small subunit ribosomal RNA", at positions 524 to 776 of the family's 1533-position model. The record is from RNAcentral.